CAGUCGCCACGGUAAAACGGAGGGUGCAAGCGUUAAUCGGAAUUACUGGGCGUAAAGCGCACGCAGGCGGUCUGUCAAGUCAGAUGUGAAAUCCCCGGGCUUAACCUGGGAACUGCAUUUGAAACUGGCAGGCUAGAGUCUUGUAGAGGGGGGUAGAAUUCCAGGUGUAGCGGUGAAAUGCGUAGAGAUCUGGAGGAAUACCGGUGGCGAAGGCGGCCCCCUGGACAAAGACUGACGCUCAGGUGCGAAAGCGUGGGGAGCAAACAGGAUUAGAUACCCGCGUAGUCCCUGUCUCUUAUAC
This 301-nucleotide ribosomal RNA is filed under the name uncultured bacterium. RNAcentral describes it as "partial 16S ribosomal RNA". It matches the Rfam family "Bacterial small subunit ribosomal RNA", at positions 509 to 807 of the family's 1533-position model. The record is from RNAcentral.